UUUCUUCAACACCAUCUAACCUCAAGGACAUCAGCUUUACCCAGGUGCCCCUCCAGCUCCAGAACCAGCAAUGUCAGCUUGCCCCUACUUCCCCAGCCCCAGGAAAGCACAGAGACUUCCUGGCUGCUUCCAAGACGGGCUGGACUGGUUUAGGGACCCGGUGCAUAGGCCAGUGGGAUCAUCCCAACAAGAAGGCAGGAAAUGUGAUGUCGUGAUCUUUGGGAGCAACAUAUGACAGAAGAAGCCAAUUCAGAGGAUGCUAAUAAGCAUGGACCAGGGUUGCUCUCUUACAUGACAGGACAUCUGCAACUUAAGCACCUGGUGGGAGAAAAGUGAAGAGAUAUGGCUAGCUAACAUUUCCUAAUCCUCUGGUAGACAUGGAUUCCUGUAAACCUUUGUGCCAAAAGAAGAGAGGGAGGAUUGGAGACAACCAUGGAAAAUGCCAACAUAAAAGCUGUGUGCUGGUCGAUGGAAAAUGGGAACAUGAACACGUGGAGGCCGAGCCAGGAAUGCAAUGGGAAUGAAAAAGGGGAAAGUGACUCACAAAGAGACCUCAAAGCAACACAGAAGAAAGCGGAACCUGUGAGUAAGGCUACUCAGAGUCCUGUGUCGGAAAUAGCUAUGUCUAUGCAAGUCUGAAGAAGACAAAACAGGAAGAGGCAGGAGCGGUGUUGUGAGGCCCAUGUGACAAGACUCUCCCAAUUUCUGUGCUUUGUGGGAGUUUUCCAAGAAGUUAUAAUUCCCAUGAAGAAUUGAGGCUUCAUGGUUUGCCAAACCUGACAUGCACUGGUCUGUGAAAGCCAACUAUUACAUUCUUAGGAACUUUGCAAGCAAGUUGUUAGAUAUGGCUAUUUUAAAAAAUUAAAGCAUAUAAACUUAUGAUGACACAAAUAUUAAAAAACUGUACUCAAAACUCA
Long non-coding RNA from Mesocricetus auratus (golden hamster), 917 nucleotides. RefSeq lists it as uncharacterized. The record is from RefSeq and is a predicted model, not a curated record. The transcript has 3 exons. Lineage: Eukaryota; Metazoa; Chordata; Mammalia; Rodentia; Cricetidae.